RNAcentral lists this long non-coding RNA (5620 nucleotides) under Heterocephalus glaber (naked mole-rat). RNAcentral describes it as "lncRNA (ENSHGLG00000049480.1)". The record is from RNAcentral. Lineage: Eukaryota; Metazoa; Chordata; Mammalia; Rodentia; Bathyergidae.
CCGGCCGCCUGGAGCCGCUCAGCGCGCCCGGCGAGGACCCGGCCUCGCGCUCCGCCAGCGCCCGCCUGAGCCGCCCGAGCCGCUCUCCGCCCGCCGGAGCCGCCACUGCUGCCGCGAGGUCCCGUCGGGGGUGCGCCGGCCCGGAGGCAGGGGCGUCCGGCACGAUUCCGGUCUGGUCACGUUGGAGACUGGUCAUUUUCUAGAGGGAAAGGAGAAGCCCAUGAAAGGAUGGUGAAUUCUCUUUGAGUUUCAGUUGCCAGAAUAAAAGGUGGCCUGCUCUGUGGAGCCCAGCGGAGUGCAGGGUGCACUGGUGAUUCCACAGAGGAGGAGCCUGGCCCAGAGCAUCCAGUCUGGCUCUGCGCACCUAGCAACCUCUGAGUAGCUGCCCCGAAGGGAGGUUUGCGUUUCUGAUUUCCCUUCCAGCUUCUCCCCGCCCCCCCGCACCCCAGCUGUGGUUGGCAUGCCUUUGCGUGUCAGGCUGCGUGGAUCCUCUCCAGCAUCAGCCUCUGUCGCCUCUCACCCUGUCAUCCCGUGCCCCUGCGCGUGCCCAGCCCACAUCCCAGCGUGCCCGCCCGCUCCUGCUCCGGCCCUGGCUCCCCAUCACAUCAGGGCUUCACCCCUCCCACUUUUACCCAUCUCGGCCCUCCCUGCGGUGCCCUUGCCAAUGCCACGCCUGUCUCUUGGCCUCUCCCUCCUCCGCCUGCAGGCCCCUGGCUUCCCUGGCAUCCCCCUCCUGCCUCUGACCCUGGGCAGGCUGUUGGUGCAGCCAGCCCAGAAGGGACCACUCAUGCAGCCCUCUCCCUCCCUCCCGCUCUGCACACUGGCCCAGAUCUGCACAGAAUCCGGUCACGUGCCUAACACAGCCCGAACUUUUCACAGUGUGGAUCUUUGGCCGUAGCCAGGGCUCAGGCCCACAGGCUCAGCGUGGCAUCCUGGGCCUGUCGGAUGCAGGUUCCCCCCUCCGACCGCUGGGUGCCGAGUUCCAGGCCUGUGUGAUUACUGCUGGCUCCGCCCCACGGCUCACACUCACUGUUCUUGUCCGGUACCUCUGCCUUCCUGAAGACCCCGAGGUGCCUCCUCCGAGCAGCAGCCGGGGGCAGGGCGGGUGGGAGGAGCACAGACUUGGAGGAGGUGGCCCUGAUCUCAGCAGAGAGGGCUGCGGCAGAGGUGGACUGACUCCCUGCCUUAGCCUCUAGCACAGAUGUUUACAAAGUGCUGGCUUUCUGCUCCUGGAAGCUCUUCCAAUCUGUCCUCAGUGGGUUUUUGCUUUAGGUCAUUGUUUUGCUGACAAAAUCUUCAAUAAAGAAGCCCCUUCUGUUGCAGAGGGCAAGAGAGCCUGUAGGUGGAAGCUCCUGAAUGCUGCUUCUGCAUACUCCAGGCUGUUUGAUGAGCAGGCAGGGUAACCCAGGGCCUGGCCUGCACCAGGCCGUGAUCCUCCCCAGCGCCACAAAGCAGAGCAAAACAAGCCACCCUCAGUGCACAGUGCUGCCCGCAGCCCUUUCGGGGACAGUCCCUCGGCUCAGCUCCAGCCUUCGGCCCAAGGUGCAGGCUCUCAAGAGGUUCUAGACUCCUUGUCAUCCAGAUCCAGCAGCAUGUGUCCUAGAAGGGAAGUACGGGACCUCUAGAGAUCUGAACCCACUUUGCUCGAGUGCUUCUUCACCCUAGACGGAGGGCACCUGGGAGGGUGACCCCCGAGGGGUCUUGCUUUGGCUUCUCCGAGGGGCAGUGGUGGAGUGGGAUGAACGUAGUGGGAGCAGGUGUGGCUGAGUGUGCGGUGUGGGCUGCAGGGCAGGGUGAGCAGCGGUGCUCCCUUCCCUCUACCUCUGAACCCAGGUGACAGGAGCACCUCCCCCUUGGAGUGGGGAAACUGCCAGUGGCUGCAGAACACAGCCGGAGAACAGGGCCCUCCGAUGCCUCUGCCUGUCAGGCCUGGCUGCAUGCUGGGGAGGGGAGUGUGCCUGUUGGUGGCAUCUGCAUUCCCAGGUGAGGGGCAACCUCCACUGAGGCCUGACCAGAAGAAACAGAACUGCAGACCCGGACCCUGGGGUCUGGGGUCAACAUGGGGAGUGGCUCAACACAGUUCCAGCCCUGGAGUUGUUUACAAUAUGUUAUUUGAAAUUUUAACACGAUCAGAGUUAAAUCACGACUAUUAAACACUCCCUUGAUCCAGGUACUUUGUGUCCCUUUAUUUUGAGAUGUGCCUAGGCUCACCGUGUCUGGUAGGGGGGUAGACGGGGUUUGCUCCCCUGGGAAGAGCUGCCUGUUACUAGGGCUGGUGUCAGUAGAAGCGUCCAGGGUCACAAGUGUGCUCCCGUGGGAACAGGGCACUGGAAAUCUGCUGCACCUGGCAAGACGGGCACUACAGCCCAGGACAGUGCCAGCUGAAAUGCAAUCCUCUGUGUGGCCGAGAGCUGCUGUCAAAAACAGAAAAGCUGGCUCUGAUUCUCUGAAUCCAAAUCCAGCCCAGUGAUCCCAGAGCCAGCUGCUCGGGCCCCUAAGGUGAGGUCUCAGGGCCCAGGCUGACCUCUUGUGUCCUCAUGGAGCCUACCAAGCCCUUGUGGUUCACUCGUUAACUUUGAUGAGAGGAAAUCUCUGCAAAAUCCUGUGUACGGUCCCAGAGACAUAUUUUAUCAUCAUGAUAAAGUAUCGUGUCGAUGUAAUCACAAGGCUUCCUAAGCUGUCUUCAUCAAGGGUAAGACAACCAGCAGUUAGCAGGUACCUGUAUUUAGCAAGUUAAACAGUCUUUGGUCUUGGGGCAGGGGAGAAAAUUCAAUGGUAGAGCAUGUACUGAGCAUGCAUAAGGCCUGAGUUCAGUGCUCAGCAAAAAUAGAAGUCUUCACUCUCAAGGAAUUUAUAUCACAUGCAUGUGUCUGCACGUGCCCCUCACCACAUUCCUGUUCUUUGAGCUUAAAAACAGAAGGAUGAAUGAUCAUAUUCAUGGUAUGGCUGAAAAAUACAGUGAAUGUUUAAUUUUUUUAUAAGUUAUUAUAUGAAAGACAUUUCCAUGACUCCCCCUGGUUUCAAACAUACUUAUCUUCUUACCUCUUUCUGAAGCAGUUGUGGAAGUCCUCUUCCGUGAAAGUCUUCAGCUGCACUGUCUUGGCUGCCUGGAUGUCCUUAAUUAACGCAAAACAUUUUCCUUUCAUGGUCAUUUUGACUUUGUUGGAGAGCCAGAAGUUGUAUGGUGCCGAUCCAAUGAAUAACAUAGGUGAGGACACACUGUAAUGAUUUUAUGAGCCUGCUUUUUUGUUGGAUGGCACCCCACAGCAGCAGUCAUUGUAUUUUUGAUCAUACCUUGUAAAGACACUCACAAAAGAGGACUUCUAGAACUCCUUCGAGAAGUGACAAGAAUGAUGGAAUGAGUGUGUUCAAAGCAAUUCGUGUGAGGGCUUAAUGGCAAUGUGUCUUUUACUGUAAUGAAUGUUAGAACAUUCACCAUAUUUGUUGAUCACACUGUGUAUGUUUAAGUGACACAAACACAGCAGCAGGACAUGGGUGACUACUUUACUACAACUGACAAGUCUUUGGUAUAACAAACCCCUUGGACCAAGGGGCUAAACGCCCACUAGAAUGGAGGAAGGGGCCUGAAUGUUUCAUUGGAAGGUGGAUGCCCAUGAGAAAAAUCACUACAACUUGAACAGCUGAGGGUAAGGAGAUAGGAUGGUUUGACGGGCCGGAAAUGGCAGCUUGCUGUGGUGGGGCUGGUUGGAGAGCUAUGUGGCCCUGGAGGUGCGAGAGGCCUGCUGUGUGUGGGAGUGACUCCUAGCAGAUGGGAGGGCUGGUUUCUGGGGAUCAUAGUCUUCCAAAGUCAGAAUCGGGGUCAUGCAUGUGACCUGGGCUCUUUGGCCUGAUUGCUACAAAAAGGCAUGUGGUAGAGAGCAUGAUCCUCACCCUCCCCAAAGACAUCCAUGUCCUAACCCACAAAAACUGGAUGUAUUAGGUUACUCGGCAAGAAGCGGUUAAGGUUGCUCAUCCCAUGUCCUUGACAUGGGAGGACCAUCCUGGGUUUUCCACUGGGACCAGUGCAAUCAGUCAGAGUGCUACAGGAAAAUGAAGAAGACGGUCAGGAGAGCGCGGGAUGGAUGUGAUGCCAGAGUCUGUGGCCACUGCUGCCUGGAAGUUGCAUGAGCCGAGGAGUGCAGGAGGCCCCUGGAACCGGACAGGGCAAGAGAAUGGAUUCUUCCCUGGAGGUCCAAGAGAAAUGUGAUCUUGCCAGCACCUUUAUUUUUAGUCCAGCAAGACCCAUUUCAGACUUAAAUUUUGAGAACUAUCAUCAUUGUAUGUUGUUUUAAGCCAAGAAAUGUGUAGUGAUUCGUUCCAGCAAGCCAUAGUAAACAAUGCAAUGUGGAAAUCUGUCUCUAUUUUGGAAACACAAAACCCUCUUAAUUAUUUACAUAAUGCAAUUUGGAAAUUUAAGGAAUAUAAAUAAGUCAAGGGUGAAUCUUGUCAAAAUUAAUUCAGGUUUUUCUGAGUUAAUUUAUUUUGCCAGAAUUGGGGCAGGAACACUGUUUCUCCACCUUUAUAUCUUCACUGCCUAGAUCAGUGCCUGACUCAUUCAGCUUCAGAUGAAUGAAUCUCUCUUAACUAAAUGCAUGAAAAAACAAAAGAAUCUACUUUUCAAAGAAAUUCAUUUUAUGCAAGAAUGUGUCCUUAUUAUUAGAAAUGUUGAAGUCAGGCCUUUGUAAACAACUAAUAACAUAUUUCGCGUUUUCCUUCAGAGAAGAGAGUCUUGGUGGGAAGCCUAAGUUGGAUUAAGAAAAAGUCAUUGUCACAGGUCGAGCAACUCUAAUCUGAAAAGUAAGAUCCCAGGUGCUCCACAAUCUGAACUUUCUGAACAUCAGCACAGUACCGCAUGAGGUGAAUUCUACACCUGGCCUCAUGAGCUGAUGGGUCAGAGGCAAAACACAGACACGUUGGAAGCGCUGUGUACAGUUACCUUCAGGCUGUGCACAUCUGGGUGUGUCAAGCAUAAAAUGAAUUUGGGGUCCCCUCCCCAGGAUAUGUUGUAAUAUAUGUGCAAAUACAAAAAUCUGAAGAAAUUAAAAAUCUGAAAUAGUUCAGAACAUUGCAGAUAAAGGGAUAUGUGAUGAUUAAUCAUAAUUACCGAGUUGAUUGGAAAGGGAGAUACCUAGGACAUUAGGGAAGCACCCUUGGGGUGUGUCUGUGAGGGUGGUUCCAGAGAUGACUGGCAUGUAGGGCAGCAAAUUGAUGGGAGAUACCUGCCAGUGAAUGUUGGGCUCCAUCCAAUAGGGUGGGACCCCGACGGAGCAGAGGGUGGAAGCCCACAGCAGGCGCUGGCUCUCCGCUCCUCCGCUCCCAGCUGCCCUGAGGGGAGCAGCUCUGCCCUGCCAGUGAUAUUCUGCCUCACCACAGGCCCUGGAAACUGGAGCCAGCCAACCAGGGACUGAAACCUCUAGGACCAGGCGUGAAAGAAAGCCUCUCCCAGGUGUUUUGGUCACAGCAGUGAAAAGCCAACACAGGACACUCAACCCAGACUUCCAGGAGGUCUAAGAACUCCUCAGUGUCUCCACAUGGUUGAAGUAUUAAUGGGUCCUUUGCUUGCUUAAUAAAAGUGCUACAAUAUGUAGCACAUUGGAACCUCAAAUUGAUGGAAAAAAGG